CCCGCGACAAGCGGUGGAGCAUGUGGUUUAAUUCGAUGCAACGCGAAGAACCUUACCUGGGCUUGACAUCCCGGGAAUCCCUUGGAAACAAGGGAGUGCCCUUCGGGGAACCUGGAGACAGGUGCUGCAUGGGCUGUCGUCAGCUCGUGUCGUGAGAUGUAGGGUUAAGUCCCGCAACGAGCGCAACCCUUGUCUUUAAUUGCCAUCAUUGAGUUGGGCACUUUAAAGAGACUGCCGGUGUUAAACCGGAGGAAGGUGGGGAUGACGUCAAGUCCUCAUGGCCUUUAUGCCCAGGGCUACACACGUGCUACAAUGGGUGGUACAAAGAGCAGCCAGCUCGCGAGAGUGAGCAAAUCUCAAAAAGCCAUCCUCAGUUCGGAUUGAAGUCUGCAACUCGACUUCAUGAAGUUGGAAUCGCUAGUAAUCGCGGAUCAGCAUGCCGCGGUCGAAUACGUUCCCGGGCCUU
This 466-nucleotide ribosomal RNA is filed under the name uncultured Syntrophus sp. RNAcentral describes it as "bacterial SSU rRNA". It matches the Rfam family "Bacterial small subunit ribosomal RNA", at positions 920 to 1382 of the family's 1533-position model. Lineage: Bacteria; Pseudomonadati; Thermodesulfobacteriota; Syntrophia; Syntrophales; Syntrophaceae. The record is from RNAcentral.